AGUGAGCGCUGGCGGUAGGCCUAACACAUGCAAGUCGAACGGCAGCACAGUAAGAGCUUGCUCUUACGGGUGGCGAGUGGCGGACGGGUGAGGAAUACAUCGGAAUCUACUUUUUCGUGGGGGAUAACGUAGGGAAACUUACGCUAAUACCGCAUACGACCUACGGGUGAAAGCAGGGGAUCUUCGGACCUUGCGCGAUUGAAUGAGCCGAUGUCGGAUUAGCUAGUUGGCGGGGUAAAGGCCCACCAAGGCGACGAUCCGUAGCUGGUCUGAGAGGAUGAUCAGCCACACUGGAACUGAGUCACGGUCCAGACUCCUACGGGAGGCAGCAGUGGGGAAUAUUGGACAAUGGGCGCAAGCCUGAUCCAGCCAUACCGCGUGGGUGAAGAAGGCCUUCGGGUUGUAAAGCCCUUUUGUUGGGAAAGAAAAGCAGCAGGUUAAUACCCCGCUGUUCUGACGGUACCCAAAGAAUAAGCACCGGCUAACUUCGUG
RNAcentral lists this ribosomal RNA (492 nucleotides) under uncultured bacterium. RNAcentral's name for it is "partial 16S ribosomal RNA". It matches the Rfam family "Bacterial small subunit ribosomal RNA", at positions 29 to 507 of the family's 1533-position model. The record is from RNAcentral.